RNAcentral lists this unclassified non-coding RNA (378 nucleotides) under plant metagenome. RNAcentral describes it as "partial contains 5.8S ribosomal RNA, internal transcribed spacer 2, and large subunit ribosomal RNA". The stretch from base 1 to 105 matches the Rfam family "5.8S ribosomal RNA", at positions 50 to 154 of the family's 154-position model. The record is from RNAcentral.
GAAAUGCGAUAAGUAAUGUGAAUUGCAGAAUUCAGUGAAUCAUCGAAUCUUUGAACGCACCUUGCGCUCCUUGGUAUUCCUUGGGGCAUGCCUGUUUGAGUAUCAUGAAAUCUUCAAAGUAAAUCUUUUGUUAACUCAAUUGGUUUCUACUUUGGUAUUGGAGGUCUUUGCAGCUUCACACCUGCUCCUCUUUGUUCAUUAGCUGGAUCUCAGUGUUAUGCUUGGUUCCACUCGGCGUGAUAAGUUAUCUAUCGCUGAGGACACUGUAAAAGGUGGCCAAGGUAAAUGCAGAUGAACCGCUUCUAAUAGUCCAUUGACUUGGACAAUACUUUUAUGAUCUGAUCUCAAAUCAGGUAGAACUACGCGCUGAACUUAAGC